RNAcentral lists this ribosomal RNA (1372 nucleotides) under uncultured bacterium. RNAcentral's name for it is "bacterial SSU rRNA". It matches the Rfam family "Bacterial small subunit ribosomal RNA", at positions 28 to 1381 of the family's 1533-position model. The record is from RNAcentral.
GAUGAACGCUGGCGGCGUGCCUAAUACAUGCAAGUCGAGCGAACGGACGAGAAGCUUGCUUCUCUGAUGUUAGCGGCGGACGGGUGAGUAACACGUGGAUAACCUACCUAUAAGACUGGGAUAACUUCGGGAAACCGGAGCUAAUACCGGAUAAUAUUUUGAACCGCAUGGUUCAAAAGUGAAAGACGGUCUUGCUGUCACUUAUAGAUGGAUCCGCGCUGCAUUAGCUAGUUGGUAAGGUAACGGCUUACCAAGGCAACGAUGCAUAGCCGACCUGAGAGGGUGAUCGGCCACACUGGAACUGAGACACGGUCCAGACUCCUACGGGAGGCAGCAGUAGGGAAUCUUCCGCAAUGGGCGAAAGCCUGACGGAGCAACGCCGCGUGAGUGAUGAAGGUCUUCGGAUCGUAAAACUCUGUUAUUAGGGAAGAACAUAUGUGUAAGUAACUGUGCACAUCUUGACGGUACCUAAUCAGAAAGCCACGGCUAACUACGUGCCAGCAGCCGCGGUAAUACGUAGGUGGCAAGCGUUAUCCGGAAUUAUUGGGCGUAAAGCGCGCGUAGGCGGUUUUUUAAGUCUGAUGUGAAAGCCCACGGCUCAACCGUGGAGGGUCAUUGGAAACUGGAAAACUUGAGUGCAGAAGAGGAAAGUGGAAUUCCAUGUGUAGCGGUGAAAUGCGCAGAGAUAUGGAGGAACACCAGUGGCGAAGGCGACUUUCUGGUCUGUAACUGACGCUGAUGUGCGAAAGCGUGGGGAUCAAACAGGAUUAGAUACCCUGGUAGUCCACGCCGUAAACGAUGAGUGCUAAGUGUUAGGGGGUUUCCGCCCCUUAGUGCUGCAGCUAACGCAUUAAGCACUCCGCCUGGGGAGUACGACCGCAAGGUUGAAACUCAAAGGAAUUGACGGGGACCCGCACAAGCGGUGGAGCAUGUGGUUUAAUUCGAAGCAACGCGAAGAACCUUACCAAAUCUUGACAUCCUUUGACAACUCUAGAGAUAGAGCUUUCCCCUUCGGGGGACAAAGUGACAGGUGGUGCAUGGUUGUCGUCAGCUCGUGUCGUGAGAUGUUGGGUUAAGUCCCGCAGCGAGCGCAACCCUUAAGCUUAGUUGCCAUCAUUAAGUUGGGCACUCUAAGUUGACUGCCGGUGACAAACCGGAGGAAGGUGGGGAUGACGUCAAAUCAUCAUGCCCCUUAUGAUUUGGGCUACACACGUGCUACAAUGGACAAUACAAAGGGCAGCGAAACCGCGAGGUCAAGCAAAUCCCAUAAAGUUGUUCUCAGUUCGGAUUGUAGUCUGCAACUCGACUACAUGAAGCUGGAAUCGCUAGUAAUCGUAGAUCAGCAUGCUACGGUGAAUACGUUCCCGGGUCU